This 305-nucleotide ribosomal RNA is filed under the name uncultured bacterium. RNAcentral's name for it is "bacterial SSU rRNA". It matches the Rfam family "Bacterial small subunit ribosomal RNA", at positions 338 to 659 of the family's 1533-position model. The record is from RNAcentral.
CCUACGGGGCGCAGCAGUGGGGGAUAUUGCACAAUGGGGGGAACCCUGAUGCAGCGACGCCGCGUGGGUGAAGAAGCGCCUCGGCGCGUAAAGCCCUAUCGGCAGGGAAGAAGCAAGACGGUACCUGACUAAGAAGCCCCGGCUAACUACGUGCCAGCAGCCGCGGUAAUACGUAGGGGGCGAGCGUUAUCCGGAUUCACUGGGUGUAAAGGGAGCGUAGACGGCCAUGCAAGCCAGGGGUGAAAGCCCGGGGCCCAACCCCGGGACUGCCCUUGGAACUGUGCGGCUAGAGUGCGGGAGGGGCG